RNAcentral lists this ribosomal RNA (819 nucleotides) under uncultured marine bacterium. Its description in RNAcentral is "bacterial SSU rRNA". It matches the Rfam family "Bacterial small subunit ribosomal RNA", at positions 38 to 906 of the family's 1533-position model. The record is from RNAcentral.
GGCGGCAGGCCUAACACAUGCAAGUCGAGCGCGCCUUCGGGUGAGCGGCGGACGGGUUAGUAACGCGUGGGAACGUGCCCUUUUCUACGGAAUAGCCUCUGGAAACGGAGAGUAAUACCGUAUACGCCCUUUGGGGGAAAGAUUUAUCGGAGAAGGAUCGGCCCGCGUUAGAUUAGGUAGUUGGUGGGGUAACGGCCUACCAAGCCUACGAUCUAUAGCUGGUUUUAGAGGAUGAUCAGCAACACUGGGACUGAGACACGGCCCAGACUCCUACGGGAGGCAGCAGUGGGGAAUCUUAGACAAUGGGGGCAACCCUGAUCUAGCCAUGCCGCGUGAGUGAUGAAGGCCUUAGGGUCGUAAAGCUCUUUCGCCUGUGAUGAUAAUGACAGUAGCAGGUAAAGAAACCCCGGCUAACUCCGUGCCAGCAGCCGCGGUAAUACGGAGGGGGUUAGCGUUGUUCGGAAUUACUGGGCGUAAAGCGCGCGUAGGCGGAUUGGAAAGUUGGGGGUGAAAUCCCGGGGCUCAACCCCGGAACUGCCUCCAAAACUGCUAGUCUAGAGUUCGAGAGAGGUGAGUGGAAUUCCGAGUGUAGAGGUGAAAUUCGUAGAUAUUCGGAGGAACACCAGUGGCGAAGGCGGCUCACUGGCUCGAUACUGACGCUGAGGUGCGAAAGUGUGGGGAGCAAACAGGAUUAGAUACCCUGGUAGUCCACACCGUAAACGAUGAAUGCCAGUCGUCGGAUAGUAUACUAUUCGGUGACACACCUAACGGAUUAAGCAUUCCGCCUGGGGAGUACGGUCGCAAGAUUAAAACUCAAAG